Xyrauchen texanus (razorback sucker) is the source of this 605-nucleotide long non-coding RNA. RefSeq lists it as uncharacterized. The record is from RefSeq and is a predicted model, not a curated record. NCBI's taxonomy places the organism in Eukaryota, Metazoa, Chordata, Actinopteri, Cypriniformes, Catostomidae. The transcript has 3 exons.
GAAUGUUUUUCAAGGCUUGGUGUGUUAAGAGUGAUGGCUCUGGUCUUGACCAUAUUUCUCUUCAUUGGAUUUGCCUUUAUAAGCCUUCUUAUCUUCAAACGACAUGGUCAACAGCCAGGAGGUGUUCUAGGUUCAAUUAUCCACUACCCCGCCCAUUAUCUUGAAGUGCCAUUGGAAGGAUCAAGCCAAAAUAACACCUUACAAGUCCCACCAUUGUUGAAUGGUCCCUAAUCAAAGAAUUGAGUCACCACAUUACUAUGGAUUUACUGAUGUCUCAGAGAUUAGAGGUGAUGGAUAGUUUGAUACUGAAACAUAGGCAAAGGUCACAGUCACCAAGUCUAGACUCUCAGUAGUUUGAAAAUUCAGUAAUGAAAUCAUUCCAAUGUAUAUAAGGACAUUUCUUUGUGUGAAAUAAUCUUGAACGCUUGAGUAUUAAUGUGAUACGAUAAACAACGUAUUUUUGCAGAGCAUUCUUUCUUUUGUUUUAAAUUGAAUUUUGAAAUGCCCAUAUUCACAUAUCUACAACUCAGCCCAAAUUCUCAGCUAGAAUUCAUAGCUGUUGAUAAUAGUUUGCUUUUUCACCAAAUCAAACUUAUUUUAUGUUA